CCGGCGACCGGCGCACGGGUGAGUAACGCGUAUGCAACCUGCCCGUUUCAGCGGGAUAACCCGGAGAAAUCCGGCCUAAUACCGCAUGUGGCCGAGGGGAGGCAUCUUCUUUCGGCCAAAGGAGGCGACUCCGGAGACGGAUGGGCAUGCGUGACAUUAGCUUGUUGGCGGGGUAACGGCCCACCAAGGCGACGAUGUCUAGGGGUUCUGAGAGGAACGGUCCCCCACACUGGUACUGAGACACGGACCAGACUCCUACGGGAGGCAGCAG
Molecule: ribosomal RNA, 271 nt
Filed under: uncultured bacterium
Lineage: Bacteria
Description: partial 16S ribosomal RNA
Rfam family: Bacterial small subunit ribosomal RNA
Source: RNAcentral